GAGGUGGCUGCUUGGGACUCCCUCCUCCAGGACAUCGCCCUUAUGCCGAUGAACGUCGAGGAGGCCUCGAAUUCCCUUUCCUGGCGCCUUGAGCCAGCUGGCCGCUUCUCCACGAAGUCCUUGUACGCCGUCAUUGCUCCCUCGGCGGCCCCGGAGCCCUUUAACCUGAUCUGGGACAUCCACCUACCUCUGAAGAUCAGGAUUUUCUUGUGGCAAUGGAUCCAUGGACAUCUUCCCUCUGGGGUUGAAGUCCUCAAGCGUAACGGUCCGGGCGAUGGGAUGUGCCCCAUUUGUGGCACAAUCGAAGAUGCUAACCACAUCUUCUUCUCGUGCUCCAUUGCCCAGUUCCCGUGGGCUUGCUUCGGCGAAACGGUCGGUGGACAGUGGUGCAACACCAACUUCCCCGACUUACUUGCGGAGCUCAACGCUUCCCCUCCUUGCUACCGCCAUAUUAGAUGGCUGUGCGUUGGGGUCCUCGCCUGGACGCUUUGGAACAUCCGCAAUAAGCUUGUUAUUCAGAAAGUGACUCUCCGACGUGCGACUGAUGCAAUCUUCAAAUUGUGUGGCUACUUGCAGCUUUGGCGGCCACUUAGCCGCCCCCAGGACCGGGACGUCAUCACCACCCUCCUCGCUGACCUCCGCUCGACGGCUCUCCGCGUGGUGCCCCUGCUGCCGCCCCCUCCCCCACAACCGGACUAG
Molecule: ribosomal RNA, 699 nt
Filed under: Triticum aestivum (bread wheat)
Lineage: Eukaryota; Viridiplantae; Streptophyta; Magnoliopsida; Poales; Poaceae
Description: partial small subunit ribosomal RNA
Source: RNAcentral